RNAcentral lists this transfer RNA (86 nucleotides) under Chloroflexota bacterium. Its description in RNAcentral is "Chloroflexi bacterium tRNA-Ser". It matches the Rfam family "tRNA". Rfam says of the family: Transfer RNA (tRNA) molecules are approximately 80 nucleotides in length. Lineage: Bacteria; Bacillati; Chloroflexota. The record is from RNAcentral.
GGAGAGGUGUCCGAGUGGUUUAAGGUGCCGCUCUCGAAAAGCGGUAGGCGAAAGCCUCGUGGGUUCGAAUCCCACCCUCUCCGCCA